CCUACGGGUGGCUGCAGUGGGGAAUAUUGGACAAUGGGGGGAACCCUGAUCCAGCCAUGCCGCGUGUGUGAAGAAGGCCCUCGGGUUGUAAAGCACUUUCAGUGAGGAAGAACGCCUGGUGGUUAAUACCCAUCAGGAAAGACAUCACUCACAGAAGAAGCACCGGCUAACUCCGUGCCAGCAGCCGCGGUAAUACGGAGGGUGCGAGCGUUAAUCGGAAUUACUGGGCGUAAAGCGCGCGUAGGUGGCUUGAUAAGCCGGUUGUGAAAGCCCCGGGCUCAACCUGGGAACGGCAUCCGGAACUGUCAAGCUAGAGUGCAGGAGAGGAAGGUAGAAUUCCCGGUGUAGCGGUGAAAUGCGUAGAGAGCGGGAGGAAUACCAGUGGCGAAGGCGGCCUUCUGGACUGACACUGACACUGAGGUGCGAAAGCGUGGGUAGCAAACAGGAUUAGAUACCCCGGUAGUC
Molecule: ribosomal RNA, 465 nt
Filed under: Vreelandella stevensii
Lineage: Bacteria; Pseudomonadati; Pseudomonadota; Gammaproteobacteria; Oceanospirillales; Halomonadaceae
Description: partial 16S ribosomal RNA
Rfam family: Bacterial small subunit ribosomal RNA
Source: RNAcentral